Long non-coding RNA from Brassica rapa (field mustard), 8136 nucleotides. RefSeq lists it as uncharacterized. The record is from RefSeq and is a predicted model, not a curated record. Lineage: Eukaryota; Viridiplantae; Streptophyta; Magnoliopsida; Brassicales; Brassicaceae.
UCAUAUGCAGAUGAACUAAUGAAGAAAAUUUUCCUUUUUUAAUUCUGAUAUGAAGCAUUUGUUUCUUUCUAUUCAGCUAUUCUUUUUCAAUUCUAUUUUUCAAAAAAAAAAUUGUUCAACUUUUAUUUUAUUCAUUCUAUUCAUUAAGUGGCCACCAAUUAAAGCUUAUGUCACUCUUUAUAACAUCUAACAUAAUUGUAUAUAUAAAAUAAUAAAUAAAUAUUAUGUAACUUUUAUAAUAAAGUAUUAUGCCUCUUGCAAAAAAAAAACAUUGGGAGUGUGAUAUAUGUCAUCUUAUUUAUUGCCCUUUAUAAUUAUUUGUUUUUUUGGAUAAAAUGUGAAAUUUACUGAUCAAUGAAGAAGAAUAGAAAUUUACAAAAGAUUAUGAAAAGUUAUAAAAGCUAUAAAAGAAAAACUAUACAAUGCUUGUAAGAAAUGAAUUUCAAGCUCUAGUGUGUUAAGCUGUAACUUUGAACCACCGACACAUCAAGCCUGCAAACUUGUGGUCGGCCUUAUAUCGAAAAGAAGUAAUCAUAUUUCGCAUAGCCUUAUCAAUAAUCUGAACCACAUGUUCUACUGUCUAAAACCCUGUUUGGUGCUUCUCUCAUUCCUCUCUUUCUAAAGAUGAUAGAUACUACUCCCAAACACCAUUUUGAGAAGAAUUUUGUCCAUGACAUGAAGAAAAUUUCCACUCACAAACUGCAUUGUAGCCAUCUAGUCUGGAUCAGUCCUAUCCCCACUCAGUCGAUUUACAAGCUUGUCCCAUACCGUAAGGGAGUAAGGGCAUGCAGACAAAAACACGGUCCCGUGUCUCAUUGCUCUCUCCACACAAGACACAACCCUGCUGGAUACUCCAAGUUAUCAUUCUAUCACCUGUUGAUAAUCUUUUCUUCACUGCCAGCCAUACUAUAAACGAUAACCGCAGAACCGUCUGAGAAAACCAAACAUUUUUACUCCAGAAUACAAUAGCCUUUUUCACCCUGAUUUGGUCCCCAAGUCCUUGCCGAUGAAAAACAAGUUUUAUAGGUAUCCUCUGAAUGCUUCCAGACCACCAAAUGGUUACCAAGAGAGUCAUUAGGCACCUGUUCAUUUUGAAUGCGAUCGUAAAGGGUGUGGAAGUGCCGGCGUCUACGACCUCGAAUGUUUCAAUCUGAGUGCAGAACUGCAUCACUCACCCGCACAUUGCGAGCUACUCCAAGGUAAGAAGUGCCAAUAACACCAGUGAUAUCUAUAAGCUUCCCCAUUUUUAACUAAUCAUCGAACCAAAAGUAGGCAGUGUGGUCAUCAUUCACCUAGUACUGAAUAAACAGAUACACUAGAGGUCUCAACUUCAAGAGUUUUCUUCAUACCCAUGAACCUUUUCCAUCUACCUUUACAUUCCAAAAAGAGUUUUGUGUCAGCAGAUAUUGAUCUAUCCAGGAGACCCACAAGGAACUUUUAAGCAAUUUUUUUUUCCAAAUGAGACUCAUAGCAAACGCCGUGGAGGAGUCACAAAGCUUUCUGAUUCCAAGACCACCUUCCUCUUUAGGAUACCAAAGCUCUUCCCAUGCCACCUUAGCUUUUGUUGGUCUGAAAUCUGAUUUGGAGAGCCCGACCACAAAAAAGUAGUGCACAUACUUUCAAUCUCAUCCAGACAAGCUUUAGGAAGAAUGAAAGUUGGCUCCAGAAGUUUACAAUACUAGAGAUAAUAGACUUGAUUAAUUGUAAACGACCAGCAUAGGAGAGACUUGUUGCGCCAAGAGAUCAUCCUCUUACGUACUAUGUCUAUCAAAGUUCCAUAGUCCUGCUUUGUGGGGGCCUUAGUGAUGAAAAGCAUACCCAUAUACCAAACCGGUAAAGUUCCCACCUUGAUUCCUAUAUGCUCAACUUCGUGUAUUAUUGGGUUUGUAGUCUGUCAUGCGGCAAAGAUGGUGGAUUUAGAUGCAUUUAUGUGAAGUCCUGAGAUGCUGGCAAACUGAUUCAUAACAUCCAGAACACCACGUAAAGAUUUAACCAAACCAUUAGUAAACACCAGUAUAUCAUCGGCAAAACUGAGAUGUGCGAGAUGCACUUCUCUACACUGCGGGUGAUAAGCGAACUGAUGUGCUGCCGCUGUGUUAUUCAACAUAUUAGUCAAGAGAUUAUUCAAUAUGACAUAGAGAUAAAACGACAGGGAGAAGUCUUGACGGAUUCCUCUAGCACUAGUUAAAAAGCCUUCCAAGCUACCUUGAUGUUGACAUAGAACGAUGCAAUAGAUAUGCAUACUUUGAUCCAAAGUAUAAACUGAGCGGGGAGGCCCAUGGCUUUGAGAAAAGAAGUAAUAAAAGACCACUUGAUUGUGUCGAAAGCCUUGGAGAUAUCAAACUUCAUUGUGGCUCUGUUGGAAUUUGAGGUCCUAUAGUAACCAUUCACAAGUUCCAACGCUAGCAGCACAUUUUCUAGCAACAAGCGACCUUUGAUGAAAGUUAUCUGAUUUGACUUGAUUGCAUCUGGUAGAAUGGUUUUAAGUCGACGAGCAAGGACUUUUGAUAUGACCUUAUAUAGUAAAUUGUAGCAGGCUAUUAGCUUAUAAUCAUUCAUAGACUACGCCUCCUCCGUUUUUGGUAUCAGUGUAAGGAUCGUAGUAUUAGUUCCAGUGGGUAAGAAACCAAACAAGAAGAAAGAUUUCACUGCUAUGAUGAAUUUUUCUCCAAUAAUAGGCCAAACAACAAUGUAAAAUUCUUUGGUGAAACCAUCUGGACCUUAUACCUUAUCAUUCGGGAGAGCAUGAAAAGCUGAUUUUAUUUCCUCAACGGAGACAUGGGCUACAAGUCCAGCAGCAAAUCUGGUAGGGCAUCGAUAGGUGAGUAUUUCCUGCAGCAUAGGAUACAAAUCUACUUCAACAGCCUGAUCCUGAGCUUGAAGAAAUCUCUAAAAAUGCUGAACUGCUUACCUCUAUCUGAGAUCAUAGUAAGAGUUUGUUGUAGCACCACAAGCUGAGGUUCCUCUAGUCCGCAAGGGUCCUACAACCAGGUCAGGUGUGCGGGUCAUAAGAGCUGGGUUUACCAAGGCCGUCCAAGAGAUACUUGAGCAAGACCAGACCGGCUUCAAACAAUUGUUGAUUCAAGAGAUGGCCGAGUUAAAGCUUGAAGAUCAAGCCGAUCCAGUUGAGGUUCAAGACCCGUCAGGCUCGAUCCAGUUCUCCUCUAUCGAUCAGAGCCAAGUCGGUUUAAUCAUGUCCACAUUCAGUCUCGGUUCAUCCGUCCCAAUUGAUCCAGGUUCAAAGAUUUAGCUGUCCGGUCUGAUUAAGGUAAGCAUGUAAGAUUUCAAUUUGCUUUCUAACCGGUUUAUUGUUUUUGAUUUGUGUCUGGUUUAUUUAUUUCAAUUUGGUUAAGAUAUUAUGGGCAAAUUGUUAAGUCCUUUUAAUUUAUUUUGAGUCCAAUAAUUCAGGCCUUUGUUAGCCUUGCUUUAGAGUCCAAGUAGAGUCGGUCCUUUCUGUUUAGGCCUUUCUGUUUUACAGUCCAAGAGUGUCAAUGUUGUUUUUGCUUCAAGUCGGCAAAGCUGCAUCUGGUAUUUAAACCCCCUUAUGAGAAGCUGUCUAUUUUUUUAGACAAGAUAAUAUAUGAGUCAGUUUGCCCCUAGCAAAACCUAAGCCUUUCAAUGGUGAGAAACAAUUGAGAGCAACAUUCUAGACAUAUCAAAGACCCGGCCAUUGUUCUUUGUGGAGUCGAUCGAUCCAUCUUCAUCCCUUGUCCGAUCUUGAGAGAGACACACAUCCAGCAAGACCCGGAUCCAUCUCUAUCCAUCAUUCCAUCCGCUGAUCUUGUUGAGAGAGACAUACAACCAGCAACAGAUCCCAUCUUCCAUCCUUUCAGCUCUUUCUUUUGUUUACCUUUUCAUAUUGCAAAUCAUUCAUCCUUGCUUGUUUUUAAUCUAUUUUGAAACCCCAUAAAAACCAUUCAUAUAGUUUACUUUCUGUCUUCCCAACUAGUAAAAUAUAAAAACUCACAAAAAGAACUCAUUGUUUCAGGUACAGAUCGUCUCCAAGACCGUCCAUCCGCGAAGCCAUCCACGCGAUACUGUCCAGCCGAGCCGGGUCCGUACCGCGGCCGGACCUCAGUCCGUCCAGUUCGAUCAGACUGUGCCUACAACAGAGUUGCACCAGCCGCGUUAACCAGACUUUUAAUUGUGUUUCGAGAAGAUCUUGUCUGCACUGCUCGAUGGAAAAAUAGUGUAUUAUGAUCUCCAGCUCCACGUAAUCUAAUACAAGGCUUCUGGCGAAUUUUUUUUUUUUUAAUACUGGAUAGUUUGUUUUACCUUUCAGACGUCUCAGCUGCCGCUGCAAAAUUUACCAGGUUCGGGUCCAAAAGAGCCAAGUUUUGACAUCGACACAUCUCUUCAAAAGCUUGCUUUGUUUUGUUUUGUUAGGCAGGUCCUCGUAAUGAGUUUUGUUAAGCAUUUUUAUUUUAUACUUCAGUAGUUUUAACUUAGCAUGAAAUCUGCUUAGUGAUGCCCGUGAGUGAUGAAUAGCUUCAUUCUACACUCUCUUAACCGUAGGGAGAAAAUUAGGGUAUUCAGUGAAAUUAUUGAAAAAUCGAAAAGGCUUUCUUACCUUAUUAAAAUUGCCUGAGAUUUGAACUAUACAGCGAACAUAGAUCAAUAUACCUCCUGCGUCGAAAUGAGAAGAAGAAUAGGUAUAAUUAAUUUUGUUAUAACAAUAGUUUUUCUUUACUUUACUGAAUUGGGUUAAGAUAUGUCAAUUUAUAUAUUUUUAAACACUUUGAUGGCAUUUUACAUAAUAUCUUCAUCUUUAUGUAGCAUGGAUUUCAGAUUAAGAAUAUAUAUUUAUAUAGCAUUUAGGUAAAACCAACCAGGGAACAAUAUCAUGUAUAAUAAAACAUAUUGUUCAAGCGUUUUCUAACUUAAAGGUUGCCAUGGCAAUGCCAUAUGUCACUUUUUAUAUAUUUGUUAGUAAAAUACAUAUACAAAGUUUGAGAAAGUGACAUGUUAUUUUUUUUUUUAAAUACAGUUACUUGAUUUAUUUAUUUUGACAAAAUUGAUUUAUUUUAAGAUGAUAAAAGAUUUAACUUUGAUUAGGAUGAAAUGUCAGUGAAGAUAAUUUUCCAACAGUCUUUAUGACAUCUUACAUCCCUUAUGUUACAUGGAUUUGAAAACAUAUGUAAUAAAACAUUCGUUUUCUAUAUUAAAAGUUUUCAUGUGUCACUUUAUUAUAUAAGAUUCUUACAUAAUCUUUUUUUUUGGUAAAAUAUUAAUAUUUAUACUAUUUUGAAUUUUCCACAUUGUUGCUAGCAACUUAUUAAACAAGAAAGAAAAGAAACAACAACAACACAACCAUAUUUUGCUAUAGUAAUUUGAAUAAUUUUAGCUGGCCAAAACAAAAAAAAGAUCAGCGGCACCUAUACUAAUAGAAUGACACAACCAUAUGUAUAAUACAGUUGGACGCGUUCACCAUAUAGUUAACACACGUUUUAAAGAUCUAGAGUUGGACGCGUUCGCUAUGUAACUAACUAACACAUGUCUGUGAUUAUUUUCAACUUACAAAAUCUAGAAUGUGCGUCUUAAAUCCGCAACAUAUAUUUACAGUUUUUCUACAAAACAAGACCAUUCUAAGAAAAAAGAAUACAUAAAUUGUUACGAAAUGAGAAAUUAGAAAGUAGUGUAUGAUAAAUAAAACAAACACAUCAUACUUUCAAUCUGACUCUAUUUUUCGCUGUAAAAUAAAAUUUAAAAUAAAAAUAUUUAAUAAAUUUACUAUACAAAUAAAUUAUUUAUUUAUUUUUUUAUUCAUCACUCUAUUUUAUGCACUAAUAGACAAAUAUUUUAGAGUUUGUCUAGUGAUCAGUUUUCCUAUAAAAAUGAAUCUUGAAUAAUGCGUAGAAAAACAAUCCAACUAACCACUCAAUCGUAUAUGCCAUGAAAAAAAAAACAGAUCAUUAUUGAAAGAAAACUCAAUUUUAUUAUAGAAUUAUUGUAUUUAAAAAAAAAAUUAUAUAGUGAACCUUUUACAACAUAUGUUUAUUUAUUAUAAUAAGUAAAGACACGAUACUGUCAGUACUUAAUUUUUAUAAAGAAAAUUCAGAUAACUAAUAUUGUUUUAAAAUAAUAAAAUUUACAAAUAAUUAUAGCUUUCACAAGGGUUUCCUUCUUAUUUAAAAUUUAAAAUAUUACAUCACCCAAAAGAGAACAGCAUAAAACAUAGUGUUGUUGCUAAAUUUAUCAAUAGUUUUUGAGAAUCUAAUUAAUGGUUUGAAAAUGUGAGCGGAGUGAUUAACUUUUAUACUGUGUAUUUAGUUAGAAAAGAUAAUGUGAUUAUUAAUUAAGUGAUAAAAUUAUGGGAACCGAAAUUCACACCGUCAAUUUCUGUAAUCGGAGAAAAGUCGAAAAAUCUUAAUUUUUUUCUAGGUCCCAGAUUCUUUGCGAGAGCCAACGACAAGUGAUCAAACAAAUGCGAAAAAUACGAAAAGAUAACAAAACGAAUUCAUAGAAAAAUGUAGAUUUUAUUUCGAAUCCGCGUAAGAGAGUUACAAUCAUUACAAGAGAUUAUAAAAGCUUCGGCCGCAAGAGCUGUCAGCGAAUUACUUAGUUCUAGCAACCUAAAACCUUAAACCUAGUUGAAUCACAGCUCGAUAACAGAAGACGAAAACAAUACGAAAAAGGUUUUGAUUGAUUUCAGACUGAACCUUAUGAAAGGAUGCCUACCCCUUUCGAGGAUCAAGCUGAACGUAGUUUGAUUGAAAGAGUAGAAUAAGAGAUCAAACCGCCUUUGCGAGUUCGUCUAGUAAUCGGUGCCAGUCAUAGAAACAGAACAUGUCGAGAAUUAAGCCUAAAGUUUCUAAGUGCAGAGAGUUUUAAGAGUAAAAAGAAUUGUCCCUUUGCCUCUUCAACCUCGACGUCCUUAUAUACUUCUCCUAUAGGCGGUUUGCUCUUUUUCUGCUUUCGGUCGAGUUUAUUGCUUCGAAGAAAUAUUCCAUUUUCCUUCGAUCUUCGUGUUUAUCUUUAGAAACUUCACAUUUAUCCUUUGAACUUGACAUUUAUGUUCUGUAGAAUAAAAGAUAAAACCGUCAUAACGAUUGGGCUCGAUUUUGCAUAAAAUGUUAAAUAUGAUGAAUUCACUUUAAUAUGUAUUAUAUACAAAGGAGGAAUUCCAAAAAAUAACAUUUUUAGUUAUUUUCACAAAAGAACUCCAAAGAAAAAAAUGAGCAUAAGUGGUUUCAUUGAAUGUUAAAUACAUAUUUAUGCAUCUAAGGUUAACUAAUCCUAAAAUUUGGAUUUAAAAUUGAGGGAUGAGAUUUUGGCAUGAGUUUUAAAAAAUUUUAAAUAAAAAAUAAAUAUUAAAAAUUUUAAACUAAAUUUUUUAAACAUAGUUUCAAAAAUAUUUUCGAAUUUCAAAAAGAAAAUUGAAAACAAAAUCAAAAAAAAAAUUCUAAAAAAUAUAUAAAAACUUGAAUUUGAAAACAUAUAAUUAGAAUUGUUAUUUUUUUUAAAAAAAAAAUUAUUAUUAGUUAUAUAUCUAUAAAAAUAUUGUGUAGAAAUGUCUUUUGUUUUUUUAAUAAACCUAUUUUCGGUAAUCAAAAUAUAAUUAUACUAUUAAAACCUGAUUUUUUUUUCGAAAUUACAUUUAGCUUAUUUUCAACUUUACAACUUACACCGCUGUAUUUUAAACUAUCAACAUUUAUUUGUAUUUAAAUGUUUAUGUUUUGUUCCAGCAUUUAAAACUUUUUAACACUUUCCAAAGCUUAGAAUAGUUGAUGUAUUUUAUUGUAGUUUCAAUUCUUUUUGUUUCGUAUACACUAAAUUAUGUAAUUAGUAAAUGAUACCCAAUUAGCAUCCUCUAUAAGCAAUAAAUACAAUACUAAAUCAUUAUAAAUACAAUGCACAAUAGUCUUAGCUUUAUUGUGAACAGUGCACAAUAGUCUUCAUAAAUACAAUACUAAAUCAUUAGCUAUUGUUUCCUAUAUUUCUUAAAAAGUGUCACUUUGAUAUUUUUUAUGGUGAUUAAAAAUAUUGGAUAAUAGACUAAAAUGUCUUUAUUUAAUAUAUAUAAUGUAUGUUUAAUUAAAUAAAAAAUAUUUAGAUAAAAAUCUAUUGAUUAUUCAAAAGAGUAAAAGAUAGUUUUAGUGUAUAAAAUUACAUUGAAAAUGUAGAAAGAUAUUUUUU